ACAUAAAUAACUGUGGUGCAAGCAACUAACGUGCACAGGAACAGGGCUCUGGGAAACGCAGAGGGGUCCCCUGGGCAGAGGAAACAGAAAGCCCUCGAAACAAACAAAGAACAGGAAUACACAACCUUUUCCCCUGUGGGCUUCUCAACGGUGUCACCUGGUUCAUUGAUUACAAAACUUCAAGGCUCCAAGGAUGAGAGAAGUCACACAUAGACAGUGAAGUUUCUGUGGCUUCUCAGAGCAUUCCAUUGUGUGCCCCAAGUGGACCAUUUUUACUCUUAAGAAUUUUGUUGCCCAAAAUCAGGAUUACAACCCAAGUUUAGAAUCAUUUACCAGAAUAGUCCUCUUUGAAUUCUUCUGGGUUCAGCUUAGUGCAAUGCGAGUGACGUUCUAAAUUAUGCAUGCAGUUGACAUUUGCACAUUUGACGUCAAAUUAAAAUGACAGAAUGUUGAAAUUGUCAUAUGUUGUGUCAUUAUGUUGCAUGAUUUUAAGGACUAGUCUAUGGGUUUAUGGAGAUAUUUCCAAAUGUUUGCAUGCUGAGAGCUUUGGUUUUCUUUGAAGGUAUCUAAGAUUGCUGCAUUCUUGACUAUGAUAUAUGGGAGUGCUUAUGGUGUCAGUAAAUCUCAUCUCUGUGCCAAGGUUUUGACUUCACUGGUUGAUAAUCAUGUCCUAUGGCUCUGCUGCCAGGGAGUGGGUGCUAACUGCACACAUUUUAGAAUUUCAGCCUCCCUGAAAACAAUUCAGGCCUCAGUUUGUGACCCAAACUUUUAUCAGCUUGGCAAAAUCUAUUUUUCUUUAGCAGGGCAGAUCAGGUUUUUGGAGUCCAUUGUCUUCUCUGGUCAAGUCUCAGCCAUGGGGUCUUGCCCUUGGCUGUAUUGUCCCUCAGAGUGUGUCUCUCUGUGGUCCUUUUAGAGAUUCUGACACAUACACACACACACACACACACACACACACACACACACACACACACACCUACAGACACAUUUCCAUUCUGCCUUAGCUAGCUAGACUAAAAAUAUAACAUAUUAUGCCCCCAAAAUGUUGACAGUACAUACUGUUGAAAUUUAGAUUCACUUUGUAAACAUUUCCCCCAUUUUCAAAUACUAGUUUUAUAAAUGUGAAUUGUGAUCUUUCCCCCCUGUAUUCCUUUAGGAUGUUCUCAUAGUUGGGGUUACUAUUGUUGUGAUGAAACUCUGUGAACAAAAGCAAUGUGGAGACGGAGGAGUUUAUUUAGCUUACGUACCCUGAGUCACAGUUCACUGAGGGAAAUCAAGACAGGAACUCAAACUAGACAGGAACCUUGAGGCAGGAGGUGAUGCCAAGGCCAUGGAAGAAUGCCCUUACUAGGUUGCUCCUUGUGUCCUGAUAAGCCUAUUUUCCUACAGAAACCAGGACCACCUGCCACUCACAAUGGGCCAGAGCCUCUCCCAUCAGUCACUAAUUAAGAAAAUGCCCUACAUGCUUGCUACAGCUCAGUCUUAUAGACAUAUUUUCUCAGCUGAAGUUUGCUCCGCUCUGAUGACUAUAGCUUGUGUUACGUUGUCAUAAAAGUAGCCAGUACAGAUGGUAAGGUAAGGGUUAUGUUGCAUUUCAGCUAUUCUUGGAACCCUUCUGUUCACACAAUGGUUUUGGUUAAAAUUAAUUCUUUGUAAUUAGAAAUUAUAAAGCCCUUUAUUUGUGAAUACCAAAUAUAUUACCCAAGUAACCAUACAUUUCCUUUACUAAAUUACUGGCUUUCAUAAAAGGUAUUUUCAUACCCAAACCAAUAAAAUGGAUGGGAAGUGAUUCCCUGGGAGGAGCCAUCUAAGUUUAUUUAGGUAGUUUAAAUCCUGCUAGCGUGAUAUGUCAUGAUUAUGUCUCCUUGGUCCAGUCUUCAGGAAAAAUACAUCUUAGUGAAGAAUUGUAUUCUUGGUGUGCAGAAUGUUACUGUCACUCACUGAUUCUCGAGUGCUCAAAUUGACACACAUACACCCACGGUACCAAUACCUUUAGGCAGAAGUAGAGACUCUCAGAUCAUAUGUCAGAUUCAACAGAAGCCAAAUCGGCACUUCAACGACAUCCCUGUGGGAUGUACAAAGCAUUGACUUAAGUCUCCUCUCUCUCUCUCUCUCACAGCUCAGUGGAAACAGCUGCCAUUUUCUUCCCAACAUCCCUUCGCAUACUUGAACAUAUAAAUUGCCUCUCCAGUCACUAAUAAAUGAAGUCUGCUAAGAGACUUAAAUUCAUCUUAAGUGAAGACAUCCUUCCAUUCAUCAAUAAUGACUUAUCAAGUGGUUCUGCAUAGCAAGUGCUGGGGGACAAUAGAGUGAGCAUGAAGUUCACAGAGCUAGCCUUUCAGUGGAGAAGACAGACAGGAAACACAGAGCCAGGAGUCAAAAGUGUGAGGUGCCAAAUAGCAAGAGCUGCUCUAAUGCUGAUUUAGAGCAGGGAUGAGCACACUAUGUCCUCUAGGAUGGGCAGAGUAUCCUUUUUGGAAAGGAAAUUUUUUAAACAAAGACUUUGAUGGGGUGUGAACCAGAGAUCACCUUGGAACAGUGUGUCUAGGCAGAAGGAAGAGCGGGCUUGCCAUCGAAGGGGUGGGUGGAGAACAGAAGAGAUCAGAGAGCAGUCAGAGGCCAGAUAAACAUCAUUCUAUAGAGGUCAGCUUGCACCAUGACUAGGGGCAUUGGCUUUCACAGAGUCCUGUCACCUGAGCCAUGUUUUUUAUAGGAUGUGCUAGCUAUGGACCUGAGAAUGAUUGGUUGGGAGUAUGGAGAGAUGGAGACAUGCAGAUUUCACAGUUUCUAGGCAAGAAAAAACUAUGGCUAGGACACAGCACAUACUGAAGCUGGUACCAAGCAUGUAGCUCAUGAGACACAAGAACUGAAUUUUUACAUUUCAAUUAAUAUAAAUGCCUAUGUAAGGCCAGUGGCUAAUGCAUUGAACUAUGUAGUUGAGUUCAUGGAUACUGUCACCAUGGUUUGGCUUCUUGGCCAGUGCUUGUAUAGUGUUGGGCUGCUGACAAGUUGUACUUAGUAAUAAUUCAUCGAUUAAAAAGAACAUUUUCUUAUCAACCCUAAAAUACUUUUAUUUUGGGCCAAGAGAAUUCUGGCUUUUUCCAGUGUCUUCUACAUGACUGCCAUUACCGUUGGUGUCGUGAAAACAUUCUAGUCACACAGGCCAUCCACUGUAUUUUAGCAGAUGUCCCAUGGACUG
Molecule: long non-coding RNA, 3196 nt
Filed under: Mus musculus (house mouse)
Lineage: Eukaryota; Metazoa; Chordata; Mammalia; Rodentia; Muridae
Description: long non-coding RNA chr2:72160334-72163530
Source: RNAcentral